AAAAAGCGUCACAGCUUAAUAACCUUAAACUAUAAUAUCCUAAUACACAAAAAACCCUUUAAUAGUAUCGAAUUCUUCUGUAUUGAUACAGAAUUAUUUAUGUUAAGACUAGUAGCAAGAAGCAACCUUCUCUUUAAUGUAAGUGUAAAAGAACUUCCUCUAAUAUUAACAUAUGAACAAAAUGUAGUAACUCAACGAGAAAACCCUACCCAAGCCUCUGUUAACCUUACACAAGAACAUUCCAAGAAAGAUUACAAGAGAAAGAAGGAACUCAGCAAACUACGAUUCCGCCUGUUUACCAAAAACAUCGCCUCUUGAAAAUAUAAGAGGUCCUGUCUGCCCAGUGACUCUGUUCAACGGCCGCGGUAUUUUGACCGUGCAAAGGUAGCGUAAUCACUUGUUUUCUAAUUAAAGACCUGUAUGAAAGACCACACGAGAAUCACACUGUCUCCUCUCUCCAAUCAGCGAAACUAAUCUCCUCGUGAAAAAGCGAGAAUUACCUUAUAAGACGAAAAGACCCUGUGGAGCUUUAAACAGCCUGACAGCUAAUAUAAUUUUAUUACUUUUUAGCAUGAUUACAAGUUUUUGGUUGGGGUGACCCUGGAGAAUAAACUAACCUCCAAGAUGACAUAUGAAUCUCCUUUAGCAUAAAGCUACAAUUUUACGCAUCAGUAUACUGACAUCAAUUGACCCUUAUUGAUCAACGAACCAA
This 712-nucleotide ribosomal RNA is filed under the name Adelophryne patamona. RNAcentral's name for it is "partial 16S ribosomal RNA". The stretch from base 249 to 495 matches the Rfam family "Archaeal large subunit ribosomal RNA", at positions 1787 to 2143 of the family's 2987-position model. Lineage: Eukaryota; Metazoa; Chordata; Amphibia; Anura; Eleutherodactylidae. The record is from RNAcentral.